UACCAGCACCCCGAGUGGUCGGGACGAUUAUUGGGCCUAAAGCAUCCGUAGCCGGUCAUGCAAGUCCUCCGUUAAAUCCACCUGCUUAACAGAUGGGCUGCGGAGGAUACUACAAGGCUAGGAGGCGGAAGAGGCAAGCGGUACUCAGUGGGUAGGGGUAAAAUCCUCUGAUCCAUUGAAGACCACCAGUGGCGAAGGCGGCUUGCCAAUACGCGCUCGACGGUGAGGGAUGAAAGCUGGGGGAGCAAACAGG
This 253-nucleotide ribosomal RNA is filed under the name uncultured bacterium. RNAcentral describes it as "partial 16S ribosomal RNA". It matches the Rfam family "Archaeal small subunit ribosomal RNA", at positions 474 to 727 of the family's 1478-position model. The record is from RNAcentral.